This 74-nucleotide transfer RNA is filed under the name Risleya atropurpurea. Its description in RNAcentral is "tRNA-Trp". It matches the Rfam family "tRNA". From Rfam's summary of the family: Transfer RNA (tRNA) molecules are approximately 80 nucleotides in length. Lineage: Eukaryota; Viridiplantae; Streptophyta; Magnoliopsida; Asparagales; Orchidaceae. The record is from RNAcentral.
GCGCUUUUAGUUCAGUUCGAUAGAACGUAGGUCUCCAAAACCUAAUGUCGUAGGUUCAAGUCCUACAGAGCGUG